AGCUUUGCGCAGUGGCAGUAUCGUAGCCAAUGAGGUUUAUCCGAGGUGUGAUUAUUGCUAAUUGAAAACUUAAAUCAGAAUCUAAUAUAACCAUGAGUUUGCUAUCUGGUCCUUAACUCAUAAUGCUUGAUCAUCAAAAAACAGU
This is a small nuclear RNA of Rattus norvegicus (Norway rat), 145 nucleotides long. Ensembl annotates it as U4 spliceosomal RNA. Lineage: Eukaryota; Metazoa; Chordata; Mammalia; Rodentia; Muridae. The record is from Ensembl.